This 211-nucleotide ribosomal RNA is filed under the name Nectria cinnabarina. RNAcentral describes it as "partial large subunit ribosomal RNA". It matches the Rfam family "Eukaryotic small subunit ribosomal RNA", at positions 1334 to 1569 of the family's 1831-position model. RNAcentral also lists the same sequence under 1 other name. The record is from RNAcentral. Lineage: Eukaryota; Fungi; Ascomycota; Sordariomycetes; Hypocreales; Nectriaceae.
AACGAGACCUUAACCUGCUAAAUAGCCCGUAUUGCUUUGGCAGUACGCUGGCUUCUUAGAGGGACUAUCGGCUCAAGCCGAUGGAAGUUUGAGGCAAUAACAGGUCUGUGAUGCCCUUAGAUGUUCUGGGCCGCACGCGCGCUACACUGACGGAGCCAGCGAGUACUUCCUUGUCCGAAAGGUCCGGGUAAUCUUGUGAAACUCUACCGUG